UUACUGCAGCUCAUUAAUUAAAGCUCUCUCUCUGGCAGUACAUGCUGAACAUUAGGAAAGAGCUAGAGGUUAAACUCCUGCUCCGUUUCAGUGGGCUGGAUAAUAUGUGAUACCGGUACCGUGACGUCUCUGUGUGUCAUUAGUAACAUGUUAGUGGAGCCUCUGCACGGCCCUGUGACCUGCUGGAUAUGAACCAGUCUCUAUGCAGCGUUAGCUCACCUGGUCAUUGGUGUGUUAACGGGGAUUUGGCUGACAAGCUUUCUGAAAGAUGGCGAUUCCACAGAGGACAGAGGCUGCAGAUCUCCAACACUCUGCCACGAGUCUCCAACUUCUCAGGGUUCAAGAGACAUGCAGCCCGACAGAAAGUGACCUUCUGAUGCUUCGGCCUGCGCGCACUCCUGUCUUUCUCUUUUCUUUUCUCCGAGCCUGCAGCUCUGCAUUGUGAGUCUGUUCCUGCAGCUCUGCACCGUGAGCCUGCAGCUCUGCAUUGUGAGUCUGUUCCUGCAGCUCUGCACCCGUGAGCCUGCAGCUCUGCAUUGUGAGUCUGUUCCUGCAGCUCUGCACCGUGAGCCUGCAGCUCUGCAUCGUGAAUCUGUUCCUGCAGCUCAGCAUUGUGAAUUUGUUCCUGCAGCUCUGCAUUGAGACCCUGCAGCUCUGCAUCGUGAGUCUGCAGCUCUGCAUUGUGAAUCUGUUCCUGCAGCCCUCUGAACCAAUAGGAAACAGGCUUACUGAGUUACUAUUCUACCUGCACAAUUGUUCCUCUGGUGUCGGAAUGUCUCACGAUGUUUGUGAAUUCUUAGAAACUAAACACCACAUCAUUUCGGGUUAAAAUGUGUUGUAACUGCGUUACUGAGAAAUGUAACGGGUAUUAUAUUACCCACAUUUCAGAAGUAAUGCGUUAUAUUACUGCCAUCCAUCUUCUCCCGCUUUUCCGUCAGGGUCGCGGAGGUAACAGCUCCAGCAGAGAGCCCCAAACUUUCCUUUCCCUGGCCACAUCAACCAGCUCUGACUGGGGGAUUCCAAGGCGCUCCCAGGCCAGCGAAGAGAUAUAACCCCUCCACCUGGUCCUAGGUCUACCCCUCGGCCUCUUCCCAGCUGGACGUGCCUGGAACACCUCCCAAGGGAGGCGCCCAGGUGGCAUCCUCACUAGGUGCCUGAACCACCUCAACUGGCUCCUUUCAACACGAAGGAGCAGCGGUUCUACUCCGAGUCCCUCCCGGAUGACUGAACUUCUCACCGUAUAUUACUGCGUUACAGCAAAAAGUAAUACAUUACUGUAACUCCGGUACUUUUGUAACGCGCUACACCCAACUCUGGGGACAGUGUACUGACUGUAACUUAACAAGUGAGCUCUGGACAUGACUAAACGUGGACUAUCAACUAAAGAAAUGCAUCAUCAAACAUGGCGUGAUGUUACGUUGCUUGCAAACAUGAUCAGUGAUCUAAAGCCUUGAACAGGAUAGGCAGGUUAACAGAACAAGGGAGGCCAAGAAUGUUGCUGAUAAACUCCGUGGGCUAAAAAACAAACUCACUUUUUAUUUUCACCUCGACUCUCCCCUGAUCUUCCCGACUGGCCGCUUGUCGACAAGCGUAACAUGGCUGCACUAGAUCCGUUCCUGGGCGUAGUGGAUUUCUCCUUGAACCUUUGUUCAACAAUCUGCAGGAGGGCUGCGAAUGUCAGUGCCCACAAGGAGCGCUGCCAACAAAUCGCCCAGAGAGUGAAGGCACUGGAGGGACUCAUUCUCAUCAUCAAACACGGAGGAGUGGGACAACUAUCCCCUGCUGUGCACAACGCUCUGAGGGAAAUCUGCUCCAACCUCACAUCUGCCAAGACGCUGAUGGAGAAAAUCGGCCGAACUAAAGCUGUAAUGAGAUUCCUGAAGUCCAGCAGCCAAGAGGGCCAGUUCUUGUAUUUGGACAAAAGGCUCUCUGAUAACUUCAAGGUUCUGUCGGGACUCAUUGAGCAUGGGGACACGCUGAGUAGAGCCCGAUUUCCUGUUUCUGGAAAUACUGGACCCACAACCCCUAUUCCUCAGCCCAGCAACACGCCUCAGCCGAGUCCACCAUCCCCAAUUCCUUACAGCCCCAUGCCCCCUAUGGCAGCAUGUAACCCUGAACCCCAUAUGCAUUACAGCCGCAUGCCCCCCAUGGCAAUGUGUAGCCCCACACCCUCUGUUAUUUACACUAUGCUCCCCAUAUACUCCGUCCCUUUUUCCACCACCAUUUCCUCCAAUCCUGCCACCAGCACCAUGGACCCAAUGAUUGUCUUAGCAGCCAAUACAUCAGUUGUAACAAGCUUGUCUUCAAAGCUGUUUUUUCCCUAAAGCAAGAGAAACAUUUAGUGUCAGACGUGAGGACACAGAGGAAUGGGCCGCAGAAAAACCUGUCUACAACACCAUGGCCCCCAUGACUAAACGUUAGCCCCAUGUCCUUUUUACCCACCACCAUUGUCUCCAAUCCAGCCCUGAGCGCAAUGGACCCAAUCAUUAAAAACAAAAACCAAUAUUCUGUAAAAUAAACAAAUAAGAGUGAUGCAGGGAUGAUGGAAGUUAGCAUCCCAAAGUCGUCUCUUGCAGUCGCAUCCGUCGUUUUAUUAUACGAUUGGCACAGAUGUAAACAUCAAUUAGCCCGGACUUCUGACUCAAAGCACCAACUUCUGGAACGAAGACAAAACACCCGGAACUUCCUUAAAUUGCCUCCUGGUUCAAAAGCAAGUCAUUCUCUGUAGACCCCCAUGUUGAAAUGAUCAACUCGACAGCAGAAAUAAACCUGUUCACAGUCUCGUACAAAAACAAGGUUUGGUUUCCAUAGUUUAAUUUGUUCUACUGAAACACAAAGUCACUUCCUUUCUAGAAAAACUGAAUUUAACACAUUAUUUGAAUUCUUCCUGAUUUUAAUGAGUUGUAACAAUAUUAGUUUUAGACUCUUCUAUCCUGUUUUAGAGAUUCCUCUGUGCAGCAAAUCUGUAUUUUGAUGAGGACACAGAUCAGAGGGCUUCAUAUUUCUUGAGUCUCAUUGCACCAUCUAAAAACACAGCUGGUAUUAUUGAGUACUUUCACAGCAUGUUUUGGUGCCAUACAGUUAUAUGAUCGAUGAGGUGACUCAUUUGAAUAUGGAUCAUUAGCUGAAACAUGACAUGGAGGUUUCUGAUUCUGUCUACCAAUUAAGAUGAAUCGUACUACAACUAAAAUAAAACUUGAAACCAGUCUGAUUUGAUUCGUUGGAAACAAGUUGUCUCAUACCGCAGAUUGUACAUUGCUAGGCCAUCAUUAAACCCUAAUGUGCACAAGCCCAAA
Long non-coding RNA from Eleginops maclovinus (Patagonian blennie), 3296 nucleotides. RefSeq lists it as uncharacterized. The record is from RefSeq and is a predicted model, not a curated record. The transcript is spliced from 2 exons. Lineage: Eukaryota; Metazoa; Chordata; Actinopteri; Perciformes; Eleginopidae.